Molecule: long non-coding RNA, 3127 nt
Organism: Triticum aestivum (bread wheat)
Lineage: Eukaryota; Viridiplantae; Streptophyta; Magnoliopsida; Poales; Poaceae
Exons: 10
Source: RefSeq, a predicted model, not a curated record
CUACACUUGCGAGCUUCCCCAUCCUUGCGGUGCCGCUCCCAGUCCCCGCCUCUUCCAAGAAAAUCCCACGGAGUACCCUAAAAAAAAAUCCCACGGAAAAGUUUCCCCUCUUCCACCAAGCUUCCAGGUUCCUCUCCUCUCCACCGAGUUCGAGCAGCCGCGGCAGCAGUAGCCAUGUGGCGUUCGCGCGGCGGCGGCAACCAGGACAUCGGCGCUAGGUCAUACACGAAGCGGAGGGCAUGCCGUUGCUGGCUUACAACGGGGGCUUCGUCGUGGUCUUAGUUCCUGCUGAACGUCUAUGGCGGCAUGCUCGCCUACAUCAUCGACCUUCCACCACUCUAGUAGCAGUAGCAGUAUCAAGUGUACUGUCGACGCGUUUGAUCCUUCUAGAGCCUCUGGGAGUGAAACAUGGAGUUGUCGUGUAUUUGCAGUUCGUAGUUCAGUCUGUCCAUGCUACCUCCGCUGGAACUUGAGGUGCUUGAUGAAGAUGAAGAAGAGGAAGGCGAACAGGGCGAUGAUGGCCAGGUGCAGGCAUGUGACAAGGUUGAAGUAGCGGUUCUCGAGGCCAAGGUAGCCCUCGAGGAACUCACGCACCGUCUGGUCCGGUUGCCCCGGCACACGGAUCAGCUCUGUCCGGUCGCCCAGCUGUGAGAACAUGAGCCCGUACACUGUCCAUGCCGCUGGGUUAGCCCAGUACACCCACCUCCACCAUAUCGGGAUCAGCUGCAUCCACAUUGCCACAUUGUUGUUGUUCAUUAGCAAGCCAUGCACUGCGCCCUAAAGUUCUGCCAAUAUCCUGGGGGAAAAUGUAGAUCCACGGUGUUUGGCGCUGGUUGCCCCAGCUCUUCAAUUAGAAGCAUGUUCUCCCUGCAGAAACAAGGGAGGAGCUCCGGUAAAUUUCUGCAUAGUCCACUCCAAUCACAUAUUCUGUUAUGUGUGAACUUAUAUCCAACACCCAUGCUGCUGGGUUUUGUCCCUCUUUUAUUCUAGGAACACCAGCACGGGCAUCCAAGCCAGUGGUUGGCUCGUCCAUGAAUAUAAUGGAAGGACUAGCUACCAGCUCCACUGCUAUUGUUAGCCUUUUUCGCUGCUCAGCUGACAGGCCAGUUGCUCCUGCUAUUCCCACCAUGGCAUUCUUCAGUCCAGUCAAUUCAACUAGGUCCAUUACUUCAUCUAUAAACAUCUGAAACGUGCUUGUAGGAAAAUCUUGUUAGAUCUAUUGUUAUAUAUUAGCUUCAAAGAUGAUAAAGAUUGCAAAAGGUCAAUGCUUAUACAUCUCUUUGGCGAGAGUUAACGUUCGAAGGAAGUCGAAGCCAUGCCGAGAACUGUAGUGACUCAUGCACAGUGAGGUUAGGGGAGUGAAUGUCACUCUGUUCACAGUAGCCCGAGAUCCUUGAGAAUGUGUCCUGCUUCUUUGGGUAUCCUGCUAUCCUAAUAGUACCUUCAAUAUAUCCUCCAGUUUUUCUUCCAGCCAAAACGUCGAGCAAUGUUGUCUUUCCAGCACCAGUGAUCCCCAUCAGAGCUGUUAACACCCCUGGCCUGAAAACACCACUGACAUCUUGCAGCAGUUGAAGCUUUUUCUCUGUUACUCCAUACUUCAUCAUUUCCUGGUGGAAGAUAUGCAUACGUUUGGUCAAACGUGACUGGAAAUGAAAUGGAUGCAAGUAUUCAGUAAGGCACUAUGUGCUCAAGAUGUUACCUUAGGCAUGUCAACAAAAUAGUUGAUAUGAUCAAAUACAAGGGAAAGAGGCUGAAACGGGAGGGCAACUUGACCAGUUGAUGCAUUGCGAGUUCCAACUUUCUGUUUCUUGCACUCCGUUUUUGUCUUCGUGGAAUCGAUAUUAACUUGAUGCUUGUGUGGAGCUACAAAUUAUGAACAAAUGUGAUGGAUUUUGUUUGCAUUUAUGUUUCAAUACUUAUGAGGAUUUUGAUAGCUUUGGUAUACAUACAGUUCAUGAACUCUAGUGCAAAUAUAGUGAGGAUGUUGAGGACCAGCGAGAAUCCAAAUAAAAUGCCGACACAAAUCCAGUACCAAUGCCACUCUGUGAGCAACCCCCUGAUCUUGAGGAUAGCUUCACCAACUGUUUUAGCAUUUGCAUAGUAAAAUUCCUGUCAGCAUGAAAAAAUCAUCAUCAGGUCAUAACUAAUUGCACGGGUUAUGUACAUUGGAUCAAGAAUGUUAGUUGAAACAAUUGCUUACACUAGCCCAUCUUUCAUCAAGGAACUCAUUUAGGGCAACAGCAUUCUGUGCAUAGGUGAAUGGGGAUGUCCAGUAUCCCCACUGCAACCAUGGUUGGAGGUUAUCUGUUUCAAUGUACAAAACUGCCUCCAAAUAUGUAGAUUGCUAUGAGAGCUGCGGUGCCUAGCAUGUUGGCCAUUACUUGCGUCCUUCCUAUUGCCGCUAAGAAACGAUAGAGGCCCAUUGACAUUUGAUGCAUGGCAAAAAGUACCAAAAACUGCUGGAUGAAUCUGCAAGAAGCAAGAGAUCGUCUUUCGCAGGUCGUGGGAGAUAGGAUGAACGAAAAGAUUCUGCAAAUUUUUCGAUUGACCGGUAAUCGUGGAUUACUUUGGCUGUGUUAGGGGCGUUCUCAGGCUCUACUGUGUAGGAGAUGCUGGCGCGUGCUGUCCAUCUCAUGAGAAAUCAACUAGCAAGGUUAUCAGAUGCUGUCAAAACGAACCUUGGCUAACCUGCUCGAGGACUGUAUUAAAGCCGUUGCCGUCAUCCUCGUAGCUGCUGUCGUCUUCUACACCGAAUGCUACCUCAGGAAUGGCCACGCUACGUUCAUGAAAAUUGUAAAGACCCGGUACCAAAAUGGAAAAUUCCCCAAGCUAGACAUGUGCUGUGAUGGUUGUGCUGUCCAGAAGACUCUGUUUAAGGUAGGCUUAGUUGGGGCCAACCUAUUUGUACCAACAUUUCUUUUAGCAACUAUAGUAUUUGUGUAAACAUAUGACCAUGUUUUUUUUUUCUUGAUGGACAUAACGCCAUGUUUAGUGUAUAUAUCAGUGUAUUACAACAAACUGAACCAUUACUCUGUCUUGUGAUUAAGUAAGGCUUGGCUAAACCAAUUUCAGUCAAAAAUAAAAAAGAGACUUGGAGCAGUACUCUCCAAUUUGGUCUAUCCUAGUA